UUGCUGCUCCUGAGGAUGAAACAUUUGUGACUAGAGUCUUGGCGGACUCUAGUCGCAAAUGUUUCAUCCUCCCCUGUUAGACAC
This 84-nucleotide microRNA precursor is filed under the name Eptesicus fuscus (big brown bat). RNAcentral describes it as "microRNA efu-mir-9326 precursor". The record is from miRBase by way of RNAcentral. Lineage: Eukaryota; Metazoa; Chordata; Mammalia; Chiroptera; Vespertilionidae.